GGGGAAUAUUGCGCAAUGGGCGAAAGCCUGACGCAGCCAUACCGCGUGUGUGAAGAAGGCCUUCGGGUUGUAAAGCACUUUCAGUGGGGAGGAAAAGCUGGUGGCUAAUAUCCAUAGGCCGUGACGCUACCCACAGAAGAAGCACCGGCUAAUUCCGUGCCAGCAGCCGCGGUAAUACGGAAGGUGCGAGCGUUAAUCGGAAUUACUGGGCGUAAAGCGCACGUAGGUGGCUUGGUAAGUCGGAUGUGAAAGCCCCGGGCUCAACCUGGGAACUGCAUUCGAUACUGCUGAGCUAGAGUACGAAAGAGGGGGGUGGAAUUCCAGGUGUAGCGGUGAAAUGCGUAGAGGUCUGGAGGAACACCAGUGGCGAAGGCGGCCCCCUGGUUCGAUACUGACGCUGAGGUGCGAAAGCGUGGGGAGCAAAC
Molecule: ribosomal RNA, 425 nt
Filed under: uncultured bacterium
Lineage: Bacteria
Description: bacterial SSU rRNA
Rfam family: Bacterial small subunit ribosomal RNA
Source: RNAcentral